GCGCCGGCAGGCGCGGGCACACGGGCUGCCCCCGGGCCGUGCCCCCGGGCCGUGCCCCGGAGCCUCGGCAGGCAGGCCGGGCGGGGCCGGGCUGCGCCUGCCCCCGCAGCGCCUCGGGGCGCCUGGAGCCCAGCACGCCCCCGCCGGGGUUUCGAUUCCCGGGAAGCCACGCCGGGCUGCUUGUCCGGGGGGUGAGCUAUCUGAGCGGAGGUGUUCCCCGGCUGCCGGCUGCUGAUAGCGACAAAACAAGGCUCAAGGAGACGCGAGAGCAAGCUGUUAGCACGAGUGAUCCCUCCAGCUGGUGCUACGUAAGGAGAUAACGGCUGGCAGCGUAUUCAUGUGGAGAGCUCAAGGAGGCAUACUGUCAGCAAACGGAGGAGUUAAGCUCUCUGAAAGCUAUUCCAGAUAAAGAUUUAUCCUUAAUUUAAGGAAAACAAAAACGGAAUGUCGGAGGACAAGGUGGAACCUCACAGGGUAUUUCCAAGUACCGGUGACCUAUCCCUAUGAACACAAGGGCAAAAAAAAACAAAAGACCAUUUCCUCCCUCCUCCAUCACCUUUGUUCUACCAAACAAACACCUGGAAUUUACAUCCCAAGGCCUCACCUAUUCUACAGUCACUCAAAUGAUCUAAAAUUAGAAUGAAAAUCAUGGAGAUUGUAUCACUGAGAUAGUAUUGUGCUUGUACUUUCCAAUACAAAGGGAUUGAAAUUUUUCCUUUUCAUUAAUCCAUGAACAAUAAUUUAUGCAUCUGACAUUUAAAUUAUAAAGAUUCAGAUGAUUAAUACAUACCGGAAAAAAAAUCUGUUUCUGUGCUUCAUCACAGGCUUAAGGAAAAAAAUGGCUCCAGGCCUGGCCCUGUGACAGACUGAGCACUGCCACCUUCCAGUGACAGCAGCUGAGCUGUGCAUGCUCAUUCCCUUUCGGUUUCAGUAAUUUGUCAAGCACAGAAAAUAUGUGUGUGUGUGUAAAUGU
Long non-coding RNA from Passer domesticus (house sparrow), 973 nucleotides. RefSeq lists it as uncharacterized. Lineage: Eukaryota; Metazoa; Chordata; Aves; Passeriformes; Passeridae. The record is from RefSeq and is a predicted model, not a curated record. The transcript is spliced from 2 exons.